This is an RNA transcript of Mastomys coucha (southern multimammate mouse), 447 nucleotides long. It is a transcript of the gene named actin-related protein 2/3 complex subunit 5-like protein pseudogene, with no coding region annotated. The transcript has a single exon. The record is from RefSeq and is a predicted model, not a curated record. NCBI's taxonomy places the organism in Eukaryota, Metazoa, Chordata, Mammalia, Rodentia, Muridae.
AUGUGUUUGGCUGUCCUCACGCUUCUGCGUGAUAUCGACGAAUUUGACAGGAACACAUUCGUAGACGAGCACGAAGAGGCGGUGGCGGCGGCGGGCUACCCCUGCGAGGUAGACGGACUCCUGCGGCAAAGGGAUGUGCUUUCGGUGUUCCAUGCAGCCUUGAGGAACUCACCAGUCAACACCAAGAAUCAAGCUGUGAAGGAACGAGCCCAGGGUGUAGUCCUGAAAGUACUCACAAACUUUAAGAGCAGCGAAAUUGAGCUGGCUGUGCAGUCACUGGACAGAAAUGGCAUUGACUUGCUAAUGAAGUACAUUUAUAAAGGGUUCGAGAAGCCCACAGAAAAUAGCGGUGCAGUGUUACUCCAGUGGCAUGAAAAGGCCUUAGCUGUAGGAGGACUAGGCUCCAUUAUAAGAGUUCUUACAGCAAGAAAGACUUAAAAAAAAAAU